RNAcentral lists this ribosomal RNA (470 nucleotides) under uncultured bacterium. RNAcentral describes it as "partial 16S ribosomal RNA". It matches the Rfam family "Bacterial small subunit ribosomal RNA", at positions 28 to 523 of the family's 1533-position model. The record is from RNAcentral.
GACGAACGCUGGCGGCGUGCCUAACACAUGCAAGUCGAGCGAAGAACUUCGGUUCUUAGCGGCGGACGGGUGAGUAACACGUGGGUAACCUGCCUCAAAGAGGGGGAUAGCCUCCCGAAAGGGAGAUUAAUACCGCAUAAUAUUAGAUCUUCACAUGGAGAUUUAAUUAAAGGAGUAAUUCGCUUUGAGAUGGACCCGCGGCGCAUUAGCUAGUUGGUGAGGUAACGGCUCACCAAGGCGACGAUGCGUAGCCGACCUGAGAGGGUGAUCGGCCACAUUGGAACUGAGACACGGUCCAGACUCCUACGGGAGGCAGCAGUGGGGAAUAUUGCACAAUGGGCGAAAGCCUGAUGCAGCAACGCCGCGUGAGUGAUGAAGGCCUUCGGGUUGUAAAACUCUGUCUUUGGGGACGAUAAUGACGGUACCCAAGGAGGAAGCCACGGCUAACUACGUGCCAGCCGCCGCAGUAA